RNAcentral lists this long non-coding RNA (6300 nucleotides) under Sus scrofa (pig). RNAcentral's name for it is "lncRNA (ENSSSCG00000062292.1)". Lineage: Eukaryota; Metazoa; Chordata; Mammalia; Artiodactyla; Suidae. The record is from RNAcentral.
AGUUGGAUAAAUGGAAACCAUUUCGGUUAGUAAUAACAAACCAUAUUUUUCUCACUUAAUGAAUAUUUACUGAGAAUUUACUUUUAGAAACUCUGUUAGGUGCCAGGAAUGCUGAUUCAUAAGCUAGCGCUCCAAGUCCUCAGAGCCCACCCUAAUUUGAUCCUAACCUGCCUUUCCAGCCUCAUCUUGAGUCACAUCUUGGCACAUGCCCUUACCUACCAACCAUCCUAACAAGCCAUAUGCUCUCAUUCUUGUUUUUCUUUCUGCCUUUGCAUGUGCUGUCUUCUCUAUCUGGAGUGCUCUUCUCCCUCUUUUAGCUGCUGAACUAAAAGCUCUUUCAAGAGGCUUUAAAAGCUUCCCCGAUUUUUAUGGCCAAGCUGGUCAAUCACACUUUUUUUGCUAUGAUGAUUGGUUUGUACCUCUGUUGUAAAGUGUUUAUACCGUAUCAUAAUUAUUCAUAUUCCUGACUGACUCACAUGCAUGAUCCUUGGAGGUAGGGAUCUUGACUUACUCAAGGGAGUAUUCCCUAGUCUAGUACAUAACGGAUGACUGAUGUACUUCAGUUGACUAAACUCAACCCUGAGUCAGAAAGAAAGGAAAGGAGUUCCCUGGUGUCUCAGUGGGUUAAGGAGCAAGUUGUCACUGCUGUGGCCAGGUUCAACCCCUGGCCCAGGAACUUCUGCAUACCACGACUUCAGCCAAAUAAAUAAAUAAAAGAUUAAAGGGCCCAGAAAACUUGUAGCCCAGUGUUACUGAAAGCAAACCAUGAAUGUAUAACUUAGUUACCAUUAGACAUAGGAGCCCAAACUUGUUGCUGGUCCUUUGUGUUAUUAUGGUUGUUGGACACAUCUCGUUUUACUUAACAAGCCCUUUAGAGCAACUGUUUCUAUGCUUGUCUUCUCCAGGGAGGAAGAAAGCAAAGAGUGCUAAUACCCAUAACUGCAGACCUUCAGAGACGUCUUCACCGCCAAAGUGAUUCAGGGAAUUAAAGCACUUCUCCAGGUCCCCCGCUAAACUUGGAUUUGACAGCCAGUAGCAAAUGUUUAUGGAAUUUACAUAACAAUGACCACAUUGCAUAACAAUUUUUCAAAGCACUUUUACAAAGGCUAUUCCUCUCAAUCAUCAUGAAAGUCAGUUGCCCUCACUUUAUAGCUGGGAAAAUUGAGGUUCAGAAAUGUGUUCAAAGUUACUAAGCUGGUAAGUAGUAGAAUCAAGAUCCAAGACACAGAUCUGACUCCAAAUCUCUUGUUCUUCCCAAUUUACCAGGCUGUUCUUGGAGGAUAGGACAUGUAUUUUAUUUUUGUGUGUAUCCAGAGGAGUGCAAUAUUCUCCUUGGAUGGAUGUGCUCAUCACUAAAAAUUCAAAGACGUCACCAGCACCUAGCACAACACCUGGUACCUAGAGGGUGCUUAACAAAUCCUUUUGCAUAAAGAAAUGUUCCCCAGCAAGCUCAGGAUCUACGUACACGACCAAAGUAACACCCAGCUGUGUUCUUUCUUUCACCUAAUCUUCACAUCCAUCCAUUAUCUUUUUUGACAUGUGGGAACACUGAGCAUCAGUGGAAUUUAAUACCUCUGCCAUGGUGAUGUUUGGAUUUAAACCCAGGUUUCCUAUUUAAAAUACUAAGUUGAUGCACCGUCUAGAAAGAGCUGUGUUAAAAUAAGAAGAGUCCAGAUCUGGAGUCAAAAGACCUGAGUGAGUCCUACCCCAGCCCUGCACGAACUGUACGGCCUUGGAGGAGUCAGCCUCUAGGACUUAGUGUUCCCCAUAUAAAAUGAGAAGAUUAAUACCGACCCUGCUGACCCAAACAAGGUUGUUGUGAGGAUAGUGAAUAAGUGCAAGAAUAAGUGUGAGAAGGACUAAUUCGAGGUAUUGACUUGGGCCUCCUUUUGAAAGGGUUGUGGCUUACCUGGCUGUCCCCUCCCGAGUACCAGGGCAGUGCUUGUGGACAUCACCUGGAUGGAUAAUUGCCCAUGGAUAAUUAUUGACUCCUCAUGUUGGAACAUGUUAAUUAUAUUUAUUCAGCUUUAGGAAAAUAUGCGUGCAUGCAUGCAUGUGUGUGUGUGUGUGUACAUGCAUGUGCUCGUGUGCGCGUGCACGAAAGCACACACCUCCACUUUGAAGGGUGCAGUAGAAAAAGCAUGAAUUUGGACUCCGACGGAGCUGCCUUUAAAUCAGUCCUGUAUUCAUUAGCUCUAUAAUUUUGGACACGUUUUUGUCACAUUGAACAUCAAUUUUCUAAUCUGUAAGAUGCAGAUAAUAGGUUGUUAUGAGAAUGAAAGAAGACUAAAUGCUUCUAGGAUGAUCUGAGCUUAUUACUCCAUACACAGUAGCUUUACUAUCAUCAGUAUUAUUAUUCACAAAUAAUACGCAUUCUGGUUCUGGUAUUGACUCUGAUCCCUCCUCAAUAGAAAACCACCCCGUUCCGAUCCCCUGUCUUGUCAUCGUGUUUACACAUUCCCUUCUAAUUCUCUUCUCUAUCCCAUAUGGGUUAGAUUUGAAAAUGUGAUCCCCUGGGUGCUGGAUCUUUAAAAUUAUUUCAGAGAAUUAUCAGAUUGUCUGCAGUUUUUCCAAGAGUUUAAAUCUUUAUCCGUUGUGUGCUGUAAUUCUAAUUCUUGCAGUGGCCGAUUUACUAUUCUCUAAUUUUCAUCAGUAAGGAAAAACUUCCAGAGUAAAACACUAUUCCAAAAGAAUCAAAAGCAUAUGAAUUGCUACCCCCAAAGUUAUCACUGCUAAGUUACUUGUUGUGGCCCUAUGAGACAACUCCCUAUAGCAAGAGCAUCCUGGGAUUUUAUUCUCCUGUGACUAUAAUGGGCUACUCAAUAUUACAUUAACUGUAAAGAGCUGUACAAAUAUUAGUAUUAGAUGAUUACUAAGUUAUGGAUUAAAAACUGAGAAAACUAAUAUUUUACAAAUCCUUGUUAAAGCCGCUGAAACUCAUCGAAAUUUGAAUAGCCUUAUUCACAGGCAAAAUUGAAAAAAGGAACUUCCAAGAUAUGCAUCCCAUCUUGCCCACCACUACUAGAUAGUUUUCCUUUUGUUAUGUCUUCUCACUACUCAAAAAUAUUCCAUUGUAUGUUACCUCCUUGAAAUUAUCCAAACUCAUUAUUCUGGGAGGGCUUUCAUAACUUUUUCCAGUAUUCCUUCCCAGCCCUACUUCCUGCUACUUACUCCUCUCCUUCUCCUUCCACCCCACGUGAUUCUUGGUGUUCCAACAAACUGUUAUAGUCACUGUUCAUAAAUUAUUCCAUGUGCUUUCCUAUUUCCUUGCCCUUGAUUAAGCCAUUCUACUGUUCACAUUCUCUUCACCUCUAUCUGUCCAUCCAGCUCUAGACCUUCUCCAAAGCCAAGCUCAGUAUAUACUUUCCCAUAGAGAUGACACGUGCCCCUCAAUUCUGAAAUUACCAAUCAUCAGCACACUCAUUUGACAGUUGUCUAUAUAACCCAUGUAGUUGACCAGUGGUUUCACAGAGGUUUUCUCACUUAGUAAAAAUGGUAGUUGCCUCCAGUGAUAGCUGGAACAUUCCUAUGGGCUAGGUGCUCUGCUGAGUGCUCAUGAAUAUCAUGUUUAAUCCUCAUAGUCACCUGAGGUAGGAGAUCCCCCUUUUACAGAUGAAGAAUUGGAGGUACAGAAUGGUUUUGUAAGUCACCCAAAGUCAUAGAGUUAACAAAUGGCAGAGUGGAGGCUCACGCUCAUGUCUGAUUAAAUCCAAGAGCCAACCUCUUAGCACCACACACACUGUUUGCAUUUUACAAUGUAGCACAAAGAGGUUAAGUGGUACAACCAAAGCUGGUGAGUGACAGCCAUCCUCCCAGCCGAUUCAGUCUAAGUCCAGAGAGCUUUCCAAUAUGCCAGAUAUAUGAUAUUGCCUCUUACUGUAUUUAACUUUCACUGUGUUAUUUAACCUAACAAAAGAAUUGUCUACUCAGCUCAAGAUUUCUAAAGACAAUGAUUAGAUAACUGAGGGGUGGGGCAUCAGAUCGACAGUUAAGUACCAACAAUGGGGCUGAUGAUGUAUGUUGUGGGAGGAAGUGGGCUGAUGUGGGGUGCACUGAUCAUCUCCUUAGUCAGCCUUUGGGGAAAACAUCAUGGACUUCUCUUCGAAGACUGAUUACCUUGGUACUAAAAAGACCCGCUUUUGUUUGUGUGAUCGUUGAAAGCCAGGGCAGUCUUUGCCGUGACUUCUUUUUGUUCAGCUAAUGUCAAGGUUGCUCUGCCUAGUCUCUGGGACUGUCCAGGGAAGAAGGUCAGGGGGAGCCAAUGUCUGUUAAAGUGAAAAAAACUGAAGUUCCAGCGAAAGCAUCAAAGGGUUCCCAUUCUUUACAAUGCAAGAACAGAUGCUCAGCAGCAGGUAUAUGUAGAAUGAAAGCAGCAGCAAUAUUAACAGUAAUAAACAUUUUAUGUGCCUGCAGCUACUGUAAGAGGACAUUCUAAUGUAAAUGGCUUGCAAUGCCCACGUGGGGUAUGCUGGGGCCAUGCCUUUCACAUGUGUCUCGCAUAUGGUGCCCAUAAGUGCAGUAUGAGAGAUGGAAAUACAAUAAAAUCUCCUUCACUCUUCUGGGUGAGGGAGGUUGGUGUGGAGGAAGUAUUACAAACAGUGGCCGCAUGUAAAUUGAGGGAAAUUUGUAAAUGACUUUGCACAUAGUUUAUUGUAGUGUAGUAGCCUUGAUAAUUAUCAAGCACAGUGCCUGCAUUGAACGACCUGAUCAUUGUGCAGUUUCCAUUUCAGUAAUAGUAUCUUACAAUUAUACAGUGCUGUAUAAACAUGCAUUACAGCACCAGCUGAGUCUCUCUUCCUGAUUCACCUACAUCUGUCCAUCUGCUAAACUUCUGCUCAACGUCUGAUUCUGGGGAAUAGCAUGUAGGAGCUCGUUAUUGCCUCACACCUACCCCAUAUUCUCCCCAGACUUUUAUCUGUCAUAAAACUAACAUUUUGAUCUCUGACUGCUCAACUCCUUUGCCUGCCUCCACUGGUUUAGAACUCAGGUAGGGAGAGGAGAGGUCCUCAAAUGCCAAGGUGAAGGGUAAUGGCAUACAUGGUGAGUGCCUAGCACAGCUCCUGCACUAAAGGGAGCUACUCUUACCUGGAGUGAUUUGGGAUGUGAAAGACUUGUUCCCACUUGAUCAUCCCUAAAUAUGGAGCUAAGAAGACCCAGCAGGUGAACUUGGAAGAUCUGAAAAGCAAGAGGCUCCAGGACCCCAGAGAGACUUCUGGAAGGGAAUCAGCCUUGCCACCCUGAGCUGAGGACUGUCACUGGGAGCCAUAAACAAUAUGUCAUUGGAAGAGGGAAGAUUGUUGUGAUGUGAUUAUGAUUAUUCCUCUACAUCCCAACAUACAUCGCCACACUGUCCUACUGCUAUCACAUAGCCACACACACACACACACACACACACACACACACACACACAAAUGUGAGCUCUAUGAUGGCAGAGUCCUUGUCGGUGUUGGUCAUCCUGUAUCUCAAGAGUCUAAAACUGUGUCCAGAGCACUUAAGGCAUGGAGAGGGUACAUUCAUCGAAUUAAUUCAGUUGUCAACACAUAAUUCUGCAAACAUGCGUUAAGUGCUUCCUAUGUGCUGGGCACUACAGUGGGCCUUCUUAGGUGUAGUGAGUUGGGAAGAGGGCAGGGUUCUGAAACUGCCCCUGCUUUAUGAGCCUCAGUAGCGGAGGCAACUCCCCGGGGCUCCGUCCCCUCACCUACACAAACUGGAUUGGCUGCAUGGCUCCCCCAUCCAUCCAUGGCCACCGUCCUGAGCAAAUGGCCGCAGGAAAACAACCCAGUUCUUCAGGGAACCCUUCUUCACCCUGAGCAUUGGGCAGCCAGGAAGCUGUUUGUUUAGCCAAUGAUGUUUGGUGGCUCACACCCCAGAGGAAGGAAUGUGUUUCUGGACCAUGGCAAGUGAGGUCUUCCUCUAUGCCUCUGGGAUUUUUUUUUUUUUUUUCACUUUUCCGAGCUCCAAGCUUCUCUGGGGUUUGAGAAACUAUUGUUUUUCUUCAACAUGUGCUGCAUAGGGGUGGCUCCAAGCCUGGCAGAAAUUUGUCUUUAUUUAAUUAUUUACCCAGCAUCUUCUGUUUGGGAACUGCCUUGGGAGCAGGCAGUACCAAAUGCCAGAAUGCUUAAGGGGCACCUGUCAAACUGCGCCUCCAGGAGGCCUCUUGGAUAGGCUUAAAACCAAUGACACCCAUCUGCACAGUACCUCAAAGCGUUCUUGCAAAGUUAAUUCUGAGCUGGGUGGCAUCAACUUUCACAUAGCUGAUGAGAAUAUCAACCAUAACUUCAGAAGGCAAAAAAAAAAAAA